This 301-nucleotide ribosomal RNA is filed under the name uncultured bacterium. RNAcentral describes it as "partial 16S ribosomal RNA". It matches the Rfam family "Bacterial small subunit ribosomal RNA", at positions 509 to 807 of the family's 1533-position model. The record is from RNAcentral.
CAGCCGCCGCGGUAAUACGGAGGGUGCGAGCGUUAAUCGGAAUUACUGGGCGUAAAGCGUACGCAGGCGGUUUGCUAAGUCAGAUGUGAAAUCCCCGAGCUUAACUCGGGAACUGCAUUUGAAACUGGCAGGCUAGAGUCUCGUAGAGGGGGGUAGAAUUCCAGGUGUAGCGGUGAAAUGCGUAGAGAUCUGGAGGAAUACCGGUGGCGAAGGCGGCCCCCUGGACGAAGACUGACGCUCAGGUACGAAAGCGUGGGGAGCAAACAGGAUUAGAUACCCCAGUAGUCCCUGUCUCUUAUAC